AAUAAUAGGCUGAAACAAAUGGCUGGAGUUAUUUUAUACCGAAUGAGCUCAGAAAUACACAUUGCCACACAGGCAAGUCAAAAUAAUUCCACACAGGCAAGUCAAAUGAUGCCACACAGGCAACCAAAAUAAUGCCACACAGACAAAUCACACAUUGGACCGCGAAUCUAAAUGUAUGCAAAUCGGAUAGGUGUGUUUGGCACAACAUCACAAAUCCGUAGAACAGAAAACUAGGGUUAACCCAUACGCCU
This 251-nucleotide long non-coding RNA is filed under the name Panax ginseng (ginseng). RNAcentral's name for it is "long non-coding RNA (PGIN_LNC008765)". Lineage: Eukaryota; Viridiplantae; Streptophyta; Magnoliopsida; Apiales; Araliaceae. The record is from RNAcentral.